Molecule: long non-coding RNA, 442 nt
Organism: Bombus impatiens (common eastern bumble bee)
Lineage: Eukaryota; Metazoa; Arthropoda; Insecta; Hymenoptera; Apidae
Exons: 2
Source: RefSeq, a predicted model, not a curated record
AAGAGAACAUUGAAAUCUACAAUACCACUUCUAUCGACGACUUAACAAUUAAUAUUUUUAUCGACUAUUGGUAUGUUUUUUAAUUUGGCAGAUGCACAGUUUUCGUCUUAAUUUUAAGUAAAAAAAAAAAGGAAAACAAUUAAAACAUGAAUUUGAGGCUCGAUUCAAGCACGAGAUAUUUUCGGAAAAGGUUAUUGUCGCUGGAUACACAGUUUUAAGAGCGCAAUUUGCUGGCAAAGAGGACGUGAUUUUUAUAGUUGGUCUAAACUAUCGACGUUCUGCCCUGCAGCAUUCUAGUGGCAACAAUUGUCGCUUGCGUCAAUGUUACGUCAUUGGUACUGAAGCACGUAGUCUAGGCUAUGGAUAACGAAUUGAUUUUACGUAAAACACUGUAUUAGAACCCUAAAAAUAUUUCAGUAAUAUUGAAGAAGGAAACGAUAUA